This 433-nucleotide ribosomal RNA is filed under the name uncultured bacterium. RNAcentral describes it as "bacterial SSU rRNA". It matches the Rfam family "Bacterial small subunit ribosomal RNA", at positions 29 to 507 of the family's 1533-position model. The record is from RNAcentral.
AACGAACGCUGGCGGCAGGCCUAACACAUGCAAGUCGAACGCCGUAGCAAUACGGAGUGGCAGACGGGUGAGUAACGCGUGGGAAUAUCCCCCUCAGUACGGAAUAGCCCAGGGAAACUUGGAGUAAUACCGUAUACGUCCGCGAGGAGAAAGAUUUAUCGCUGAGGGAUUAGCCCGCGUAGGAUUAGCUAGUUGGUGAGGUAAUGGCUCACCAAGGCGACGAUCCUUAGCUGGUCUGAGAGGACGAUCAGCCACACUGGGACUGAGACACGGCCCAGACUCCUACGGGAGGCAGCAGUGGGGAAUAUUGGACAAUGGGCGCAAGCCUGAUCCAGCCAUGCCGCGUGAGUGACGAAGGCCUUAGGGUUGUAAAGCUCUUUUGGCGGGGACGAUAAUGACGGUACCCGCAGAAUAAGCCCCGGCUAACUUCGUG